AAAAAUCUGGAAAGAGGAAGUGGAGGCUUUCUGUGUAUCGACAUUUUUAGAAAAAAUGAUUUAGGGAGUAUGUUACAAUAAAUGUUAAUAAAGAUGGAGAUAUUUUUUUUUCUUAAUUUUUUUAAAAAAGAUAAAAACUAAAAUAUAAUAAUUUAAAAUAAAAUCAAAAACAAAAAUUGAAAUAUAAACGUAGAAAAUUCUAUUUAG
RNAcentral lists this long non-coding RNA (207 nucleotides) under Lathyrus oleraceus (garden pea). RNAcentral describes it as "Pisum sativum (pea) long non-coding RNA (PSAT_LNC005351)". Lineage: Eukaryota; Viridiplantae; Streptophyta; Magnoliopsida; Fabales; Fabaceae. The record is from RNAcentral.